AGGACAGCGGCUCUGAAACGCCUCUGGGUUCCUUGGAGGCCAUUUGCACCCUCCACCCCUGCCCCCGGCACACAGGCUGCUGGAGUCCUUCCUCCCUGCAGAAGCCGCUAUCCGUCUCCUGUAAAUGCUGGCACGGAAGGCAGGCCAGAGAAAACUGAAGCAGGGGGACGGCAAGGGCAGGUGUGUCCUUAGGUGUGGCCAACCUGUGAGAGCCCCGAGCUGGGGACCCCCAGCACCAGGCUCCGGCCCGCUCCCCGUGGAGGGAGGAAGAAAUAACGGAAGAUCAUCAGGACGUGGGGAGCGGCUGGUACAGGGCCUGAAAAGAGCAGAGCCCCGCCAGGAUGGCGAGGCCUCAGGAACAGCGUUCUGGGGAGGUGGAGGCCCCCGUGAACCCACAGGCCGCUGGCCACCUCGGGAGCCACCUGGGGGAGCAUCUGCACAGCUGUCCCCCCUGCACACUCUUUCCUGGAAGCAGGGGUUAGGGAACAGCCGGUGCUCAGGACCCUAGCAGGCCCAGCGCCCGCAGUCAUCGGAUUGCUGUCUGGUUUGGUCCAUGACCCUUGGCGGCUCCAGGAGGACCAGCAGAGCGUGCUCCGCUCCCGCAUGGCACCCAAAGAGCGCAGACCGCCGGACUCAACGUCCCCUCCUUGAUUCCUUGCACGUGCAUCUAUUGAGCACCUGCUGUGUGCGCCCACGAGGUCUUGGGGAGGAGGUGGGAGGCCUGGCCAGUGGGGUGCGCAGGGCGCGAAACCUGGUGACCUCGGGAGGUGAGCCACCGUCACCACGGUCGGGACCACAGGUAAUGCUGGGCCGGGGGAGCGGGAGGCGGCCACUCUCCCCGCGCUGUUCCCCGCGGGGAAAGUGCGCCGGCGCGGACCCCUCCGGCCCUCGCCCCGCCUCCCCGCGCGAACCCCGAUCCCGCGCCCGCCCGCCCGCCCGUGCGCCGCAGACCUGCAGUGCCCCGCGCUCCGCCCGGCACGGCCCGCACGCGCCACCGGAAGCGCCCGGCAGGUCCCCUCAGGGCCGCCAUCGCCGCCGCCGCCGCCGCCGCC
This is a long non-coding RNA of Balaenoptera ricei (Rice's whale), 1052 nucleotides long. RefSeq lists it as uncharacterized. NCBI's taxonomy places the organism in Eukaryota, Metazoa, Chordata, Mammalia, Artiodactyla, Balaenopteridae. The transcript has 3 exons. The record is from RefSeq and is a predicted model, not a curated record.